CUAAGAGCGAUAUCGACAGGGAAAAACAAAAGUGAAAGACUCCGAUUUUCCUCAUUGAUUUCCUCAAGGCUCACACUAUUUUUCUCGACUUUUAUCGGUUUGCUUACAUCUUUAUUCUUUCAUCUAAACACGCGGAGCUUUCGUUUUCGAACUUCAAUUCGUCGCCAUUGGCAGACCGUUGACUACUCGAAACAAUGAGCAUUUUCCACCAUCAUGUCCGAUUCUUAUUACAGAAUUGUUCACCAUUUCUUAUCCUAUGUCAGUUUUAUCUUGAAAAAAAUACUCCUCCAGAGCCCAUUUGUUUUUCAACCCCUGCGAAAACCAAGAGUCGAGUUGCCCCUAAGACAAUCCUAUUUUAGACUUGGUUCAUCAGACAGGAAAAUCCCUUUAAUUUCGCAGUAUUCUCGUUUCACCACUCGUUUGAUCGGGUAGUUGAACCAUCCUCGGAAACGCGGUCAAAGGUACUAGACUCGAGUCGUACAGCCUCGAGGAUGUUAUCAGUUAUCGAUAAACCAAUUAUCAAUCGAUAUUGAGCUUGAGUCGUAUGAAGUGGGACGAAGAGGACGACAAGAAAGUCGUUUCGAAGUCACCAACUUCGUAUCGUAAUAAUUUCAACAAUGAUUUUUGCCCUUCGCGGACUUGCAUCAUUCGCUGGAAUAAAAGCAAAUCGAUUGUUUAUUUCCUCGUUUGUAUUUCGGUUGUGCAAUAUUUUUAUGUAUCGUAGGAGAGCAAAUGCAUCGAGGUCUCGUUUAUCUAAGUCGGUUUCCUUUGACACAACGAUUUCUGACUCUUUUUGGAUGUUUCCUUAUUAUGACAAUCGCUAAAGAUCAACGGGUCAACGUACGUGGUCAAUGGAAUAGAAUGUUAGUAAAAAGGGGGAUCGGAAAGGAUAUAAAAGCGAGGAUUCUGUCGAAAGAACCAAAGUGAGAAAAUUUGCUAGUAAAACCAUGAAUUCGUUCCUUCGAUUCUUCGCUCUUCUGUUGCUCGCAAUUUGCGUUGUGGCCAAUGCACAUUCUGCCGGAAUAUCACCGUUGGAAAAUCUCAUUCGGAAAAUUGAUGAAAACGCCAAAAACGAAGUUCCUUCGAUGGAAGACAACCCCGCUGUAUUUGCGUCAAGACCACGCCGCCACGUUUGCGUAUCGAGUAGCUCCGUUGAUUGGACAUUGAACUGUCGUGAUUGGUGCAAACAAAAUUUUGACAGUAUGGAGUGUCGAGCAAUAAUCUGCCGUUGCCAAGAUUUCGAUUUUUUGUGAAUAUUUCUGAAAGGAAGAUUCCGAGAUUUUGACUGUAUGUGCUGGAGACUUACGUUUUUGUACUCGAUCUUGCAUAGAAAUUAAAAGAAAAUGAGGAAAGUGGGGAUUUUAAACAAAUACAUUUUUUUCAUAAAUUUCCAAAUCUGAACCAUUUAUUUGGCACACCUGGAAAAAAAGCUGCGACAAUUAUCGUUCCUGUUCGUUUUCGUUGCUAAUGACCAGCUAAUAAAUGUCGAUUUAAAAUCA
Long non-coding RNA from Venturia canescens, 1499 nucleotides. RefSeq lists it as uncharacterized. The transcript has 2 exons. The record is from RefSeq and is a predicted model, not a curated record. NCBI's taxonomy places the organism in Eukaryota, Metazoa, Arthropoda, Insecta, Hymenoptera, Ichneumonidae.